Molecule: ribosomal RNA, 468 nt
Filed under: uncultured bacterium
Lineage: Bacteria
Description: partial 16S ribosomal RNA
Rfam family: Bacterial small subunit ribosomal RNA
Source: RNAcentral
GACGAACGCUGGCGGCGUGCUUAACACAUGCAAGUCGAACGGAAAGGCCCUGCUUUUGUGGGUUGCUCGAGUGGCGAACGGGUGAGUAACACGUGAGUAACCUGCCCUUGACUUUGGGAUAACUUCAGGAAACUGGGGCUAAUACCGGAUAGGAGCUCCUGCUGCAUGGUGUGGGUUGGAAAGUUUCGGCGGUUGGGGAUGGACUCGCGGCUUAUCAGCUUGUUGGUGGGGUAGUGGCUUACCAAGGCUUUGACGGGUAGCCGGCCUGGGAGGGUGACCGGCCACAUUGGGACUGAGAUACGGACCAGACGCCUACGGGAGGCAGCAGUGGGGAAGAUUGCAGAAUGGGCGGAAGCCUGAGGCAGAAACGCCGCGUGCGGGAUGACGGCCUUCGGGGUGUAAACCGAUGUCGAAUGUGACGAAGCGUGAGUGACGGUAAUGGGUAAAGAAGCACCGGCUAACUACGUG